Non-coding RNA from Neoarius graeffei (lesser salmon catfish), 447 nucleotides. Lineage: Eukaryota; Metazoa; Chordata; Actinopteri; Siluriformes; Ariidae. The record is from the annotation of a RefSeq genome assembly.
AUGUUUGCUUCAUCUCCACUGCUGCUGCUGGCUCUCGCCCCCUAUGUGUUCUGUGCUACUGAGCUCAUCCAGCCAGACUCAGUGGUGAUAAAGCCAGGAGAGACUUUAACCCUCACCUGUAGAGUGUCUGGAGCUUCGAUCACUGAUAGCAGCAGCCACUUUGGAACAGCUUGGAUUCGACAACCUGCAGGAAAACCUUUGGAAUGGAUCAACACCAUUUAUUAUGAUGGGGAUAUUGACAAGAAAGAUUCACUGAAAGACAAGUUUGUUGUUUCUCGAGACACUUCCAGUAACACUGUGACCUUACGGGGACAGAACAUGCAGAGUGAAGACACAGCUGUGAAAUGCCUCAUGUCUCUAAGCCUGCUGUGCCUUUAUGAAAGCCUCAACACUGUCAUGCAAAUCAAACCCCCUAUAAAAUAUUUGAGGUGCACUCAAGAGAAGUGA